AUUGAACGCUGGCGGCAGGCCUAACACAUGCAAGUCGAGCGGAUGAAGGGAGCUUGCUCCUGGAUUCAGCGGCGGACGGGUGAGUAAUGCCUAGGAAUCUGCCUGGUAGUGGGGGAUAACGUCCGGAAACGGGCGCUAAUACCGCAUACGUCCUGAGGGAGAAAGUGGGGGAUCUUCGGACCUCACGCUAUCAGAUGAGCCUAGGUCGGAUUAGCUAGUUGGUGGGGUAAAGGCCUACCAAGGCGACGAUCCGUAACUGGCCUGAGAGGAUGAUCAGUCACACUGGAACUGAGACACGGUCCAGACUCCUACGGGAGGCAGCAGGAGGGAAUAUUGCGCAAUGGGCGAAAGCCUGAUCGAGCAACGCCGCGUGAGUGAAGAAGGUCUUCGGAUUGUAAAGCUCUGUGAGUUGGGAAGAAGAAAAGUAAAAGUAAAUAUGCACGUCUUGACGUUACCAAAUGAGUAAGCCACGGCUAACUUCGUG
RNAcentral lists this ribosomal RNA (484 nucleotides) under uncultured bacterium. RNAcentral describes it as "partial 16S ribosomal RNA". It matches the Rfam family "Bacterial small subunit ribosomal RNA", at positions 30 to 507 of the family's 1533-position model. The record is from RNAcentral.